Molecule: ribosomal RNA, 465 nt
Filed under: uncultured Klebsiella sp.
Lineage: Bacteria; Pseudomonadati; Pseudomonadota; Gammaproteobacteria; Enterobacterales; Enterobacteriaceae
Description: bacterial SSU rRNA
Rfam family: Bacterial small subunit ribosomal RNA
Source: RNAcentral
CCUACGGGUGGCAGCAGUGGGGAAUAUUGCACAAUGGGCGCAAGCCUGAUGCAGCCAUGCCGCGUGUGUGAAGAAGGCCUUCGGGUUGUAAAGCACUUUCAGCGGGGAGGAAGGCGGUGAGGUUAAUAACCUCAUCGAUUGACGUUACCCGCAGAAGAAGCACCGGCUAACUCCGUGCCAGCAGCCGCGGUAAUACGGAGGGUGCAAGCGUUAAUCGGAAUUACUGGGCGUAAAGCGCACGCAGGCGGUCUGUCAAGUCGGAUGUGAAAUCCCCGGGCUCAACCUGGGAACUGCACUCGAAACUGGCAGGCUAGAGUCUUGUAGAGGGGGGUAGAAUUCCAGGUGUAGCGGUGAAAUGCGUAGAGAUCUGGAGGAAUACCGGUGGCGAAGGCGGCCCCCUGGACAAAGACUGACGCUCAGGUGCGAAAGCGUGGGGAGCAAACAGGAUUAGAUACCCGUGUAGUC